GAUGAACGCUGGCGGCGUGCUUAAUACAUGCAAGUCGAGCGGACGGACGAGAAGCUUGCCUCUCUGAUGUUAGCGGCGGACGGGUGAGUAACACGUGGAUAACCUACCUAUAAGACUGGGAUAACUUCGGGAAACCGGAGCUAAUACCGGAUGAUAUUUUGAACCGCAUGGUUGAAAAGUGAAAGACGGUCUUGCUGUCACUUAUAGAUGGAUCCGCGCUGCAUUAGCUAGUUGGUAAGGUAACGGCUUACCAAGGCAACGAUGCAUAGCCGACCUGAGAGGGUGAUCGGCCACACUGGAACUGAGACACGGUCCAGACUCCUACGGGAGGCAGCAGUAGGGAAUCUUCCGCAAUGGGCGAAAGCCUGACGGAGCAACGCCGCGUGAGUGAUGAAGGUCUUCGGAUCGUAAAACUCUGUUAUUAGUUAAGAACAUAUGUGUAAGUAGCUGUGCACAUCUUGACGGUACCUAAUCAGAAAGCCACGGCUAACUACGUG
Molecule: ribosomal RNA, 497 nt
Filed under: uncultured bacterium
Lineage: Bacteria
Description: partial 16S ribosomal RNA
Rfam family: Bacterial small subunit ribosomal RNA
Source: RNAcentral